This 147-nucleotide transfer-messenger RNA is filed under the name Muribaculaceae bacterium. RNAcentral's name for it is "partial transfer-messenger RNA". It matches the Rfam family "transfer-messenger RNA", at positions 1 to 144 of the family's 374-position model. Rfam says of the family: Bacterial tmRNA, also known as 10Sa RNA or SsrA, is named for its dual tRNA and mRNA-like properties. The record is from RNAcentral. Lineage: Bacteria; Pseudomonadati; Bacteroidota; Bacteroidia; Bacteroidales; Muribaculaceae.
GGGGCUGACUGGCUUUGACAGCGUGUAGAAGCGGUAAGCAAGCAUGCAGAGCCUUGAUGCGUAAGCUCUUUAAUACCGACGUAUCGAACUAUAAUUGGCGAAAAUAACAAUUACGCUCUCGCUGCGUGAUCUGAAGCACAGUAGGAU